UACAAGUACCCGGAGGGAAAGUUGCAAAGAACUUUGAAGAGAGAGUUCAAGAGAACGUGAAAUCCCUGAAGUUGAAGCAGAACGAGUCGAAAUUGUUAAGCAGUGAAGUGGUUUGGUUAUACCGUCCAUGUAGCUGUGGUACUGCGCUGGUUGCGCUGUCCGAGCUCUCCUGACUAGUCAGUGUUGCCCACCCUUGUGGUGGUGUCUUGCUUUCUGGAAUGGUUUGCCGUGUCAGUGUUUAGCUUGCCCUUUGGGUGAGAACCGGUGUUAAUGUCGAUCACCGUUCUGUCCCGUCUUGAAACACGGACCGAGGAGUGUAACUUGUGCGCGAGUCAGAGGGUGUUAAACCUUACGGCGAAAUGAAAGUAAAGGUCGAUUAAUCGGCUGAGAUGGGAUCCUUGCUUUACGGCUUGGCGCACCAUCGCCCUGUCUCGAAAGCUUGCUUUUGGGCAGAGGUAGAGCGUACAGGUUGCGACCCGAAAGAUGGUGAACUAUGCUUGAGCAGAACGAAGCCAGAGGAAACUCUGGUGGAAGUUCGUAUCGGUUCUGACGUGCAAAUCGAUCGAUAGACUUGAGUAUAGGGGCGAAAGACUAAUCGAACCAUCUAGUAGCUGUUCCCUUCCGA
RNAcentral lists this ribosomal RNA (625 nucleotides) under Oscheius sp. 3 HMM2018. RNAcentral describes it as "eukaryotic LSU rRNA". It matches the Rfam family "Eukaryotic large subunit ribosomal RNA", at positions 343 to 964 of the family's 3401-position model. The record is from RNAcentral. Lineage: Eukaryota; Metazoa; Nematoda; Chromadorea; Rhabditida; Rhabditidae.